This 8249-nucleotide long non-coding RNA is filed under the name Lathyrus oleraceus (garden pea). Its description in RNAcentral is "Pisum sativum (pea) long non-coding RNA (PSAT_LNC039458)". The record is from RNAcentral. Lineage: Eukaryota; Viridiplantae; Streptophyta; Magnoliopsida; Fabales; Fabaceae.
UUAUCAAAAAAUAAGAAGAUUGAUAGGGUUAUUAGUGUUCUUGUUUUGCUAAAUUUUGUAUAUUGUUAUCAAGAAAUAAGAAGAUUGAUAGUGUUAUUAGUGUUCUUGUUUUGCUAAAUAUUGUAUAUUGUUAUCAAGAAAUGAGAAGCUUGAUAGUGUUAUUAGUCGUCUUGUUUUGCUAAAUUUUGUAUAUUAUUAUCAAGAAAUGAGUAGAUUGAUAGUGUAUUAGUGUUCUUGUUUUGCUAAAUUUGUAUAUGUUAUCAAGAAAUGAGAAGAUUGAUAUGUUAUUAGUGUUCUUGUUUUGCUAAAUUUGUAUAUUGUUAUCAAGAAAUGAGAAGAUUGAUAGUGUUUAUUAGUGUUCUUGUUUUGCUAAUUGUAUAUUGUUAUCGAAGAUGAAAGAUUGAUAUGUUAUUAGUGUUCUUGUUUUGCUAAAUUUUGUAUAUUGUUAUCAAGAAAUGAGAAAGAUUGAUAGUGUUAUUAGUGUUCUUGUUUGCUAAAUUUUGUAUAUUGUUAUCAAGAAAUGAGAAGAUUGAUAGUGUUAUUAGUGUUCUUGUUUUGCUAAAUUUGUUAUAUGUUAUCAAGAAAUGAGAAGAGUAUAGUGUUAUUAGUGUUCUUGUUUGCUAAAUUUUGUAUAUUGUUUCAAGAAAUAGAAGAUUGAUAGUGUAUUAUGUUCUUGUUUUGCUAAAUUUUGUAUAUUGUUAUCAAGAAAUGAGAAGAUUGAUAGUGUUAUUAGUGUUCUGUUUUUGCUAAUAUUGUAUAUUGUUAUCAAGAAAUGAGAGAAGAUUGAUAGUGUUAUUAGUUUCUGUUUUGCUAAAUUUUGUAUAUUGUUAUCAAAGAAUGAGAAGAUUGAUAGUUUAUAUGUUCUUGUUUUGCUAAAAUUUGUAUAUUGUUAUCAAGAAAUGAGAAAGAUUGAUAGUGUUAUUGUGUUCUUUUUUUCUAAAUUUUGUAUAUUUUUAUCAGAAAUGAGAAGAUGAUAGGUUAUUAUGUUCUGUUUUGCUAAAUUUGUAUAUUAUACAAGAAAUGAGAGAUUGUAGUGUAUUAGUGUUCUUGUUUUCUAAAUUUUGUAUAUUGUAUCAAGAAAUGAGAAGAUUGAUAGUGUUAUUAGUGUUCUUGUUUUGCAAAAUUUGUAUAUGUUAUCAAGAAAUGAGAGGAUUGAUAGUGUUAUUAGUGUUCUUUUUGCUAAAUUUUGUAUAUUUAUACAGAAAUGAGAAGAUUGAUAGUGUUAUUAGUGUUCUUGUUUUGCUAAAUUUUGUAUAUUGUUAUCAAGAAAUGAGAAGAUUGAUAGUGUUAUUAGUGUUUUGUUUUGCUAAAUUUUGAUAUUGUUAUCAAGAAAUAGAAAGAUUGAUAGUGUUAUUAGUGUUCUUGUUUUGCUAAAUUUGUAUAUUGUUAUCAAAAUGAGAAGAUUGAUAGUGUUAUUAGUGUUUUGUUUUGCUAAAUUUUAUAUUGUUAUCAAGAAAUGAGAAGAUUGAUAGGUUAUUAGGUUUCGUUUUGCUAAAUUUUGUAUAUGUUAUCAAGAAAUGAGAAGAUUGAUAGGGUUAUUAUGUUCUUUUGUUUUGCUAAAUUUUGUAUAUUUAUCAAGAAAUAAGAAGAUUGAUAGUGUUAUUAGUGUUCUUGUUUUGCUAAAUUUUGUAUAUUGUUAUCAAGAAAUGAGAAGUUUGAUAGUGUUAUUAGUGUCUUGUUUUGCUAAAUUUGUAUAUUUUAUCAAGAAAUGAGAAGUUGAUAGUGUUAUUAGUGUUCUUGUUUUGUAAAUUUGUAUAUGUUAUCAAGAAAUGAGAAGAUUGAUAGUGUUAUUAGUGUUCUUGUUUUGCUAAAAUUUGUAUAUGUUAUCAGAAAUGAGAAGAUUGAUAUUGUUAUUAGUGUUCUUGUUUUGCUAAAUUUGUAUAUUGUUAUCAAGAAAUGAGAAGAUUGAUAGUGUUAUUAGUGUUCUUGUUUGCUAAAUUUUGUAUAUUGUUAUCAAGAAAUGAGAAGAUUGAUAGUGUUAUUAGUGUUCUUGUUUUGCUAAAUUUUGUUUAUUGUUUAUCAAGAAAUGAGAAGAUUGAUAGUGUUAUUAGUGUUCUUGUUUUGCUAAAUUUUAUAUUGUUAUCAAGAAAUAGAAGAUUGAUAGUGAUUAGUGUUUUUUUUGCUAAAUUUUGUAUAUUGUUAUCAAGAAAUGAGAAGAUUGAUAGUGUUAUUAGUGUUCUGUUUUUCUAAAUUUUAUAUUGUUAUCAAGAAAUGAGAAGAUUGAUAGUGUUAUUAGUUCUUGUUUUGCUAAAUUUUGUAUAUUGUUAUCAAGAAAUGAGAAGAUUGAUAGUUAUUAGUGUUCUUGUUUUGCUAAAUUUUGUAUAUUGUUAUCAAGAAAUGAGAAGAUUGAUAGUGUUAUUAGUGUUCUUUUUUCUAAAUUUUGUAUAUUUUAUCAGAAAAGAGAAGAUUGAUAGUGUUAUUAUGUUCUUGUUUUGUAAAUUGUAUAUUUUAUCAAGAAAUGAGAAGAUUGAUAGUGUUAUUAGUGUUCUUGUUUUCUAAAUUUGUAUAUUGUUAUCAAGAAAUGAGAAGAUUGAAUAUGUUAUUAGUUCUUGUUUGCAAAAUUUGUAUAUUGUUAUCAAGAAAUGAGAGAUUGAUAUGUUAUUAUGUUCUUUUUUGCAAAUUUGUAUAUUAACAAGAACAUGAGAAGAUUGAUAGUGUUAUUAGUGUUCUUGUUUUGCUAAAUUAUGUAUAUUGUUAUCAAGAAAUGAGAAGAUUGAUAUUGUUAUUAGUGUUCUUGUUUUGCUAAAUUUUAUAAAUUGUUAUCAAGAAAUGAGAAGAUUGAUAGUGUUAUUAGUGUUCUUGUUUAUGUAUAUUGUUAUCAAGAAAUAAGAAGAUUGAUAUUGUUAUUAGUGUUCUUGUUUUGCUAAAUUUUGUAUAUUGUUAUCAAGAAACGAGAAGAAUGAUUGUUUUAUUAGUCUUCUUGUUUUGCUAAAUUUUGUAUAUUGUUAUCAAGAAAUGAGAAGAUUAAUAGGGUUAUUAGUGCUCUUGUUUUGCAAAAUUUUGUAUAUUGUUAUCAAGAAAUGAGAAGAUUGAUAGUGUUAUUAGUGUUCUAGUUUUGCUAAAUUUUGUAUAUUUUUAUCAAGUAAUGAGAAGGUUGAUAGUGUUAUUAGUGUUCUUGUUUUGCUAAAUAUUGUAUAUUGUUAUCAAGAAAUGAGAAGAUUGAUAAUGUUAUUAGUGUUCUUGUUAUCAAGAAACGUUUGACGCUGACCCUUUAGCAAAAUCUCUCAAACAUGAAAGGCAUUGCCAUGGGGAAUUCUCCAUGGCUUCUAUUCAGUCAAAUAAGGAUAUGGAAUAUCACAACAAAGUCGAUGUAAGUCAUGAUGCACUGUUCGUUUGAAUUUAUGAUGGCUUCAAAGGCCACACCACAGCUUCCUAUAUUCGUACGCACAUUAUUAGGACUCUAUUACGUGAGUUAUUUCUUUGCUUCUUUUUUCUUAGCAUACUAAUAUGUAUAUUGUUAUCAAGAAAUGAGAAGAUUGAUAGUGUUAUUAGUGUUCUUGUUUUGCUAAAUUUUGUAUAAAGACCCGAAAUAUUAGAAGAACUCUGAUGAGGAUUCGAUUAGCUUUCUGUGGUUUAUGCUAAAAUUUUUUAUAUUGUUAUCCAAGAAAUGAAAAGAUUGAUAGUGUUAUUAAGUGUUCCUUGUUAUGAAAUUUUUAUAUUGGUUAUCAAAGAAUUGAGAAGAUUGAUAGUGUUAAUUUAUGUUGUUCUUGUUUGCCCUAAAAUUUGUAAUAAGUGUUAUCAAGAAAGGUAAGAUUGAUAGUGUUAAGUGUACUUUGCGUUUUGCGAAACUACUUGUAUGUCGUUGACUAUCCAGAAGUAAGUUGGGGAUAGAUAAAGAUUGAUAGUGCCCCUAUUAGUCGUUUUUGUUUUGCCUAAAUUUUGUAUAUUGUUAAACAAGAAAUGAGGAAAAGAUUGAUGAGAGCACACGCUAGUUUUUUAGUGAUUCUUGUUUUUGCUAAAUUUGUAUAUGGUUAAUCAAAUUGUAGAAGAUUGAUAGUGUUAUUAGUGUUCUUAGUUUUAGCUUAAAAUUUGGUACUAUUGUAUGAAGUAUAAUUGAGAAGAUGGGAUAGUGUAUAUUAGUUUUUCUUAGGGAGUUUUGCCCUAAAUUUUUUUAUGUAUUGCUUAAAACAAACACUUAGAAAUUCGAAUCUGUUAUUAGUUGUUCUUGUUUUGCUAAUUUUUUAUAUUAGUAUAUCACAGAAAUGGAAAAAGAUUGAUAGUGUUAUUAGUGUACUUCUUGUUAUGCUAAAUUUUGCUAUAAAUUGUUAUCAGAAAAUGAGAAGAUUGAUAGUGUUAUUAGUGUCUUGUUUUGCUAAUUUUGUAUAUUCUGUUAUCAAGAAAUGAGAAGAUUGAUAGUGUUAUUAGUGUUCUUGUUUUGUCUAAAUUUUGUAUAUUGUUAUCAAGAAAUGAGAAGAUUGAUAGUGUUAUUUAGUGUUCUUUUUUUUGCUAAAUUUUGUAUAUUGUUAUACAAGAAAUGAGAAGAUUGAUAGUUUAUUAGUGUUCUUGUUUGCUAAAUUUUGUAUAUGUUAUCAAGAAAAUGAGAAGAUGAUAGAUGUUAUUAUGUUCUUGUUUUGCUCUAAAUUUUGUAUAUUCUUAUCAAGAAAUGAGAAAUUGAUAGUGUUAUUAGGUGUUCUGUUUUGCUAAAUUUGUAUAUUUGUUAUCAAGAAAAUGAGGAGAUCAGUAGAGAUUGAGUGCUUAUUAAGUGUGUUGUUUUGCUAAAUUUUGUAUAUUAUUCCAAGAAAGGAGAAGAUGGAUAGUGUUAUUAGUGUUCUUGUUUGCUAAUUCUGUAUUUGUUAUGCAAGAACGAUGAAAGCAUUGAUAGUGUUAUUAGUGUUCUUUGCUAAAUUUUGUGAAUUGUUAUCAGAAAUGAGAAGAUGAUUGAUAGUAGUUAUUAGUGUUCUUGUUUGGCUAAAUUUUGUAUUAUUGUUAUCAAGAAAUGAGAAGUUGAUAGUGUUAUUAGUGUUCUUGUUUUGCUAAAUUUUGUAUAUUGUUAUAAGAAAUGGAGAAGUGAUAGUGUUAUUUAGUGUUCUUGUUUGCUAAUUUUUGUAAUUUAUAUCAAGAAAUGAGAAGACUUGAUAGUGUUUUAGUGUCUUGUUUGCUAAAUUUUGUAUAUUUUAUCAAGAAAUGAGAAGAUUGAUAGUGUUAUUAGUGUUCUUGUUUUGCUAAAUUUUGUAUAUUGUUAUCAAGAAUGAGAAGAUUGAUAGUGUUGUUAUUGUUCUUGUUUGCUAAAUUUUUGUUAUAUUUACAAGAAAAUGAGAAGAGAUGAUAGUGUAUAUUAGUAGUUCUAUUGUGUUUGGCUAAAUUUUGUGUAUAGAAUUUGUGUAAACAAAGAAUAUAGAAGAUUGAUAUAGUGUCUAUUAGUGUUCUUCUUGUUUUUGGCUAAUGUUGUAUAUGUUGCAAAAAGAAAGGAGAAGAUGAUAAGGUGUUAUUACGUGUUCUUUGUUUUUGCUAAAUUUGUAUAUUGUUUCAAGAAAUGAGAAGUUGAUAGCUGUGUAUUAGUGUUUUUGUUUUUGCUAAAUUUUUGUAUAUUGUUAUCAAACAGUGAGAAGAUUGAUAGUGUUAUUAGUGUUUCUUGUUUUUGCUAAAUUUGUUAUAUUGUUAUCAAGAACAUGAGAAGAUUGAAUAGUGUUUUAGUGUUCUUGUUUUGCUAAAUUUUGUAUAUUGUUAUCAAGAAAUGGAGAAGAUUGAUAGUGUUUAGUGGUUCCUUGUUUUGCUAAAUUUUUGUAUAUUGUUAUCAAGAAAUGAGAAGAUUGAUAGUGUUAUUAGUGUUCUUGUUUUGCUAAAUUUUGUAUAUUUGUAUCAAAAAAUGAGAAGAUAUUGAUAGUGAUUAUUAGAAGUGUUCUUGUUUUGGCUAAUAUUUUGUAUUGGAUUUAUCAAGAAAUGAGAAGAUUGAUAGUGUUAUUUAGUGUUUUGGUAUUGCUAAAUUUUGUAUAUUGUUUGUCAAGAAAUGAGAAGAUUGAUAAUGUGUAUUAGUGUGUCUUGUUAGUCUGGGCAGCAAUUUGUAUAUAUUGUUAUACAAAGAAAUGGCAGAGUUGAUGCUAGUUGAUUUAUUAGUGUUUCUUGUUUUGCUAAUUUUUGUAUAUUGGUUUGCAAGAAAGAUGAAGGAUUGAUAGUCUUAUUGUGUGUGCUUGGUUUUGCAGUAAAUGGCGUUAUACGCUUGCCUUUACAAGACCCUAAAAUGAAGAGGAGUCUGCAUAGUGGAUAGUUCUUCGUAUGGGCUUACUAUUGUAAGAAUGCAGCAAAUGAUUAGUGUUAUAGUUGUUGUUUAAAAUUUGUAUAGUGCUACCAAGAAAUGAAGAUAGAAACGCAUAGUUAGCUGUUCUUUUUGCAUUGUGUAUGAUUGGCUUAACGCCAAGCAUAUGCAAUCGACAGGAUUUUAAGUUAUAAGUGUUAUUUUAGUGUUUUGCAUCUUUUCGUAAAUUUUGUAUAUUGUUAUCAAGAAAUGAGAAGAUUGAUUAUGUUAUUAGUGUUCUUGUUUGCUAAAUUUUUGUAUAUUUGUUUACAAGAAAUGAGAGAUUGAUAGUGUUAUUAGAUGUUCUUGUUUUGCUAAAUUUUGUAUAUUGUUAUGCAAGAAUAGAAAGAUUGAAGUCUGUUAUUAGUGUCUUGUUUUGUCCUAAAUUUGUAUAUUGUUAUCAAGAAAUGAGAAGUCUGAUAGUGUUAUUAGUGUCUUCGUUUUCCCUAAAUUUGUAUAUUGUUAUCAGAAUGAGAGAUUGAUAGGUUAUUAGUGUUCUUGAUUUUGCUAAAUUUUGUAUAUGGGUUAUCAAGAAAUGAAGAUUUGAUUAGUGUUUAUUAGUUUCUUGUUUUGCUAAUUUGUAUAUUGUUAUCAAGAAUGAGAAGAUUGAAUAGUGUUAUUAGUGUUCCUUGUUUUGCUAAAUUUGUUAUAUUGUUAUCAAGAAAUAGAAGAAGAUUGAUAGUGUUUAUUAGUGUUUUUUGUUGCUAAAUGUUUGUAUAUUGUUAUCAAAAAUGAGAAGAAUUGAUGAGUUUUAGUGUUCUGUUUUGCUAAAUUUUGAUAUUGUAUAUCAAGAUAUGAGAAGAUUGAUAGUGUUAUUAGUCGCAUUUUGUCUUUGCCAUAAAUUUUGUAUAUUUUUCGACUCUUUUGGAUUACUAGUGAGUUAUUUGCUUUUCUUUUUUCUGGCAUAAUAAUUUGUGUAUUUGUUAUGUCAGAAAUGAGAAGCUGAAUAGUGAUUAUUAGUGUUCUUGUUUUGCCCCUAAAUUUUUGUAUAAUUGUUAUCAAGAAACUGAGAAGAUUGAUAGUGUUUGAUUAGUGUUCUUUUUUGUUGUCUAAUUUUGUAUAUUGUUAUCAAAGAAAUGAGAAGAUUGAUAUGUGUUAUUAAGUGUUUCUUGUUUUGCUAAAUUUUGUAUUUGUUAUCAAGAAAUGUAUUAAGAUUGAUAUAUGUUAAUUCAGUGUUCUUAGUUAGCACUUAAAUUUUGAUAUAAUGUAUAUCAAGAUAAUAUGAGAUAGAUAGUGUUAUUUAGUGUUCUGUUUAGGGCUUAAAUUUUUGUAUAUUGUUAUUAAGUAAAUGGAGGAAGAUCGAUUUGUGUAUUAUUAUGAUUCUUGUUUAUUGCUAAUUUUGUCAAUUGUAUGCCAGGAAAGGAAGAAGAUGAUAGUGUUAUUGUGUCCUGUUUGCUUCACUUGUGUAAUAUUGUUUCGCUCCAGAAUGAGAAGAUUGAUAGUGUUUAUAGUGUUCUUUUAUGUUUUCUAACAUUUGUAUAUUGUUUUUCAAGAAAUGAGAAGAUGAUGAUAGUGUUUAUUAGCUGUUCUUGGGUUUUGCUAAUAUUUUGUAUAGGCUUGUAUCAAAAGAGACUUGUUUCGACAAGAUAUAAUCAGUGUUUUUUUUAUUUUGUGUUCUUGUUUUGCUAAAUUUUGUAUACUUGUUAUCAAAGAAAUGAGAAGUGAAGAUGUUAAUUAGUGUUCUUGUUUUACUAAUUUAUUGUAUAUUUGUUAUCAAGAUAAUGAGAAGAUUGAUAGUUGUUAUUUAGUGUUUCUUGUUUUGCUAAAUUUUGUAUAUUGUUAUCAAGAGAAUGCAGAAAAGAUUGAUAGUGUUAUUAGUGUUCUUGUUUUGCCUAAAAAUUAAUUGUUUAUCAAGAAAUGAGAAGAAUUGAUAGUGUUAUUAGUGUUCUGUUUGCUAAAUUUGUAAUAUUGUUACAGAAAUGCGAAGAUUGAUAGUGUUAUUUAGUGUUCUUGUUUUGCUAAAUUUUGUAUGAUUAUAUCAAGAAAUGAGAAGGUUGAUAGUGUUAUUAGUGUUCUU